This 1283-nucleotide long non-coding RNA is filed under the name Aquilegia coerulea. RNAcentral's name for it is "long non-coding RNA (ACOE_LNC002194)". The record is from RNAcentral. Lineage: Eukaryota; Viridiplantae; Streptophyta; Magnoliopsida; Ranunculales; Ranunculaceae.
ACCUAUGAGUGUAAGCACUCAUCCUCUUUCUUACAGUUAAUUUUUUUUGAUAGAAUGCAGGGAUCACACUGUACAAGGAUGUACUACUGGAGGUAUAUCUCCAGAGGUAGUAAUCUGCUGACAGUAGCAUAUAUACUGGUCAGAAUCUGUAAUUGUUCCAGAGUUUUGAAUAUUAAUUUUACGUUCCAAGGAAAUGGACACUGAUUCAAGAAUUGCAAGAUAGUUGGAGGUGAUGAGGAGCUCAUUCCAUUCGCUAUUAAUUAGGAGGAUAGAUAUGUGUCAACUGGAAGGUAUAUGUCCACUACUAUUAUACGAAAUUGCAGUUCUGGACAGGUGGGCUGCCAAUAUUGCUCUCUGUAUGAUUUCCUCUCAUAUACAGAUUUUUACACUUUGAAAAAUGGCCUAUUACAGGAUCAGGUAGCCAAGAUUGAAGACUAAACCUCAUGGAACAUGCAUGAGAGGAGACCAACUUUGCAAUGGGAGCAAGAACAAUGGGACCAGCUGUUGACUUUGCUCAGACAACAGAGAUUAAGCAAUGAGCCUGACAACUGGAUAUGGUGCCCUACAAGUAAGGAGUCUUUCACAGUCAAAAGUUUUUAUGAUAAACUUGAAGAAGAAAGGAGAGCCCUCAAUGCUGCUACACUGCCUGGUUUCCCUUACAACUUGGUAGGGUCUACUGAUAUCCCUUGUAAGAUCAAUUUUUUUUUUCUGGUGCUCUGUACAAGGUAGAAUCCAAACCACGGAUCACCUUGUCAGAAGAGGAAUGGACCUGCCUGACGUAUGCAUUGUCUCUAAGCAGUACCCUGAAACUGCUACACACUUCACUGGUUGUAAGGGUACUGGAGAAAUGGCCAAGGCAUAGGAGAAAAGGGAUCGGAGCAAACUUACUAAGUCUCUUACCUUAUGCAAUUAUGUGGAAUGUAUGGCUCACAAGGAAUGAUUACAUCUUCAAAGUGAAGCCGCCUAAUCUCGACAAACUCUGAAGCAGAAUUAAGCUUCUCUGUAGUUCUGGAUUGGAGGUAGAGCUCUGAACAAAUAUUAUACCUAUGCAUGCAGAUCUGACCAACAACUGGGAGUUAAUGCUGCUGCUGUAAUUGUCGAUUGUAAUUUGCUUUGGUUAUGUACACACUCAAGAGUUGUGAACUAUAAUACUAUAUGCAGUGAAUCUCUCUCUCACUGUCAUCUUGUUACCAUCAAUUAAAAGCGCCAAUUUAUCUAAAAAAGAAACCCUCAGACAUAGCAAUUUCAAUUCACUACAGUAAUUAUAAGUUGACAUUACUCAC